GCUGGGCUCUGUGCUCCUCUCCUGCUCCAGCCUGGGACAGAGAGUGCCUGAGUUUGCCCUUACAAAAACAGAAGAGAGCGACAUAAAAGAUGACAGUGGGAAGGAGCUCGGGACAGAGGAUGACGCUGAUCCUGAAGACCUGGAAGUGUUUUACCCCACGGGUCAGUGGCAAACCCUGCGUCCAGCCUCUGGUGGAUCGCCUUACGGAGGAGGACAAGGAGCGACUGGGGAAGAAACUGCUUCUAGUCCUAC
Melospiza melodia melodia is the source of this 252-nucleotide long non-coding RNA. RefSeq lists it as uncharacterized. The transcript has 3 exons. The record is from RefSeq and is a predicted model, not a curated record. Lineage: Eukaryota; Metazoa; Chordata; Aves; Passeriformes; Passerellidae.